CUUCUCGGGUUACCGAAUUCAGACAAACUCCGAAUGCCAAUCAAUUUAACUUGGGAGUCAGAACAUGGGUGAUAAGGUCCGUGUUCGAAAGGGAAACAGCCCAGACCACCAGCUAAGGUCCCAAAAUAUAUGUUAAGUGGAAAAGGAUGUGGCGUUGCCCAGACAACUAGGAUGUUGGCUUAGAAGCAGCCAUCAUUUAAAGAGUGCGUAAUAGCUCACUAGUCGAGUGACACUGCGCCGAAAAUGUACCGGGGCUAAACAUAUUACCGAAGCUGUGGAUUGUCCUUUGGACAAUGGUAGGAGAGCGUUCUAAGGG
Molecule: ribosomal RNA, 316 nt
Filed under: Prevotella sp. OH937_COT-195
Lineage: Bacteria; Pseudomonadati; Bacteroidota; Bacteroidia; Bacteroidales; Prevotellaceae
Description: partial 23S ribosomal RNA
Rfam family: Bacterial large subunit ribosomal RNA
Source: RNAcentral